Long non-coding RNA from Lathyrus oleraceus (garden pea), 794 nucleotides. RefSeq lists it as uncharacterized. The record is from RefSeq and is a predicted model, not a curated record. The transcript has 2 exons. NCBI's taxonomy places the organism in Eukaryota, Viridiplantae, Streptophyta, Magnoliopsida, Fabales, Fabaceae.
AGUUCAGUAUCCCAAACCCUAUUUAGAAGAUGUAUAAAUAUAAUAGAUAAUAGAUGAAGCUGCCGUCGCUUCACAGUAUCUCUUUCUCGCCGACCAUGUACAAUUCAAGCAAAGAUAGGAUUAGUGAUCUUCCUGACGCAAUUCAUGAAGACACCCUUGCCCAGAAAUGUCCAUUUCCCUAUCUUAUACAAUCUAACUCAAAUGGAGUUUGAUUUUAACUUUAACUUUAAUGACAAGUGGAGGUGGAUUCUAAAAAUGCUUCAACAGAGUCCUAACCUUCAACAUCUUAUCAUUCACGAGGAAAUAGAAAAUGAAAAUGGAAUCAAUGACAACAAUUGGGAGGACCCAUCCUUUGUUCCAGAAUGUCUUUCAUCUCGUCUCAGAACAUGUUUGUUGAGAUGUUCUAGAGGCACAGAGUGUGAGGUUAAAUUUGUAGAAUAUGUCAUGAAGAACUCAAAAGUAUUAAGUAUUAUGACAAUUCACAACUCCUCUUCUAUAAGUUUAAACACAAAGGAUGAAAUAUUACAUAUUUGUCCAAAGGCUUGUAAACUUAUAUUUGAUUGAUGAUAUUGGAAAUUCUAAGAAUUUGGUCAUAUUUUGUCUUCAAUGUUAUAUUGACUUUUAUAUGUAAUUUAAAUUCAUUUUAGUUCAUCAACUUUGUACUUUUCCCUUUCUUACUCUUUCUGUUUUAUAUUUUAGCUGACCUACAAGUGUUUAUCAAAUACUUAUAUAAUGCAUAGUUACACAUUGUGUUGAAGUCUCAUGUACAAGUGUAUGAAGUGCUGUUUUGGAAA